This 393-nucleotide ribosomal RNA is filed under the name uncultured bacterium. RNAcentral describes it as "partial 16S ribosomal RNA". It matches the Rfam family "Bacterial small subunit ribosomal RNA", at positions 523 to 918 of the family's 1533-position model. The record is from RNAcentral.
AUACGGAGGAUGCGAGCGUUAUCCGGAUUUAUUGGGUUUAAAGGGAGCGUAGGUGGGAUAUUAAGUCAGCUGUGAAAGUUUGGGGCUCAACCUUAAAAUUGCAGUUGAUACUGGUUUCCUUGAGUACGGUAUAGGUGGGCGGAAUUCGUGGUGUAGCGGUGAAAUGCUUAGAUAUCACGAAGAACUCCGAUCGCGAAGGCAGCUCACCGGGCCGGAACUGACACUGAUGCUCGAAAGUGGGGGUAUCAAACAGGAUUAGAUACCCUGGUAGUCCGCACAGUAAACGAUGAAUACUCGCUGUUUGCGAUACACUGUAAGCGGCCAAGCGAAAGCGUUAAGUAUUCCACCUGGGGAGUACGCCGGCAACGGUGAAACUUAAAGGAAUUGACGGGG